ACACAGGCAAGAUUUGAUGACAGUGGAGAGAAAAAAGACACCAUAAUAUUAUAUACAUGAGCAGUUAUAAGCAGAAAUCUGUGUAUCAGCAAUAGUCCUGAUUAUCCUGUAUAGCACAAUCACUUCAUCAUCAAAGAUAUUUAUUUUGUUCAGCCUUCCUAUUUCCCAAACCUAGCAACUCUCAGACUGAUAACCAAUUAUUAAGUAUAAAUUAAUGUAAAUGUAUAUCACAUUCCUGAUCUCCUGACCAUGCUGCUGGUUUAACAUGUUCCCUUCCCGUUCCCUCUCAUGAAUCCUUACUCCACUGCCUUUAUUUUAACCACGGUGAAGCAUUAUGUCUGCAUCAUCACCAACCAUGGCUAAUACCAACCAGAUUUUCCUGUGUAACCAGUUUGAAACUAGGGUGUGAACUGGAUCUGCAAACCCUGGUUAUGAAACUGGUUAGUGUUGAUGCAGAUCUAACACCACGCCAUGCCUAAAGCAAAUAAAAGACAGGAGAGGCUGUGGCUAUGAGAUCAGGAACACUACAACUAUACCAGAAGGAAGCUACGUGUGUGUUCAAGACAAUGGAGUGCUCUCCCAACCAAGUAUUCCCAUAUCUAAAAACAAAAAAGGGGUGUGUUUAGGCACAUGACGUCUAAGACUGACAUACUGCUGAAUUGCUUUAGGAAGCAUACCAUAAAAUGCGCACAACUCCUAUGCUUUUGGUUUAUUUAAACACUCAGACCUAAAUGUAGGUUCCAGUCUUUAGAGUGCAACAGAAGUUUCAGCCAAGAAAAACCUGCACAGCUGAGCCUAGGUAUCUUUAAAAACAAAAAACACAAAAAGAACAUGUGGAUGUUGCUGAAAGUCAGUUUUGGAAGCCUCUCUAUUGAUGUCGCUUUGACUAGAGCUGCAUCUCUUUGUAGGUAUCUAUAGGGCAUCUUCAUACAUCUGAAUGCAGGUUUUCAUAAGGCAUCUCUGCCACUGUUAGUCAGGAACAAUGGGGCCCUAAUCAAGCAUAUGCAUGAUCAAACCAAUGUUUAAAAGCAGUAUAUACAUAUGGUUUGUAGCAAACCAGCACAGGAUAAUGGGCAACUUAAAACCAUGAAUACUUCGUUCCAUCUGUAUUUUAGCUCACACUGCCUCAAUUGGAGUUUGACACAAACAUCUAGCCAAAGCAGAACCACCCUAGAGAAAAAGUUGCAAAGAUAAUUUAUCACUUGUUUCUUUACAUAAACAAGACCGUAGAUGAUGCAGACAUAACAAACAGCGUGCUGCUUGCUGCUGUCAAGCAAUAGUAACUGUACAGCUUAUUACUGGCAAUAUUAAUUUCUAGAAUGAAAGGUGUCCCUGAGCUUAUUGCAAGGUUGUAUUUUGAAAAGAAAAGAAAAACCCUCCCAUUACAAUGGUAUUUCAAUAGCUUAUGAGGUUUGGUCUGACUAUACUUUAAAGUCCUAAAGUGUUGCUGGGCUCAGGAGUGAUUUGGCUGGCCUAAGAUGGACAAGGAGGGGGAAUAGGUGGAUGACAGUGUGAUGAAUGGGGCUGGGGUUGGGGGACAUAGGCUGGAGGGGAACGCUUCCCCCUUCCAGGAUGCAGCUGCACUGGCUGGGGAAGCGGGACCCCCACCUCUCCUCUCCGAGGAAGGGGCACAGAAACAGAAUCCAAGGGGAGGAGUCAGUCCACUCUUAGGGGAAGUUGCCCAGGACCUGGUAGACACAGUGACCAUCUGCAUGUUCAGCAGUCUUGCAAGGCACAAGUCUCACGAAUAAGAACACCUUGCCAGUCUUUGAAAGCUUGGUGAGUGGGUGUGCCAACCCAUUGGGACAAUUCUGUUGCUUCCUUGCAGUUCUGAACUCCUUGCCCUGAUCUUGGACUCCAUAAACCUGGACCACUGCUUCUAGCUUGACUAGCCUAUCCUUUCCUGCCAGCUAGCCUGAGCGUAGCAGAUGCUGUGACUCAUCACCUGUUACUGAGCCUGUAUGUCUUUUCUGCUUUAACAAACAUCUCUUCCUUGCUCUCAUAUAAACUUAGAGUUGGAAGCGGCCCAAGGGUCAUCUAGUCCAACCGCCUGCAAUGCAGGAAUCUCAGCUAAAGUAUCCAUGGCAGAUCCAGCUUCUGCUUAAAAACCUCCAAGGGAGACUGUUCCACUGUCAAACAUCUUACUGUCAGUAAGUUUUUCCAAAUGUUUAGUCAGAAUCUCCUUUCUUGUAACUUGAAGCCACUGCUUCAAGUUACAAGAUGCAGCCUAGAUUAGCAUCAGCUUUUUUUUUGCUGCUGCAUCACACUCUUGACUCAUGUUAAGCUUGUGGUCGACCAAGACCCUUUUCACAUGUACUGCUAGUAAGCCAGGUGUCCCCCAUCCUAUAGUUGUGCACCUGGUUCUUCCUGCCUAAGUACAGAAUCUUACAUUUGUCCCUAUUGAAAUUCAUUUUGUUAGCUUGUGCCCAGUUCUCCAAUCUGUUAAGAUCAUUUUAAAUUAUGAUUCUGUCUUCUGCGGCAUUAGUUACCCCUCCUAGUUUGGUGUCAUCUGCAAACGUGAUGAGCAUCCCUGCAAUUAGUUCAUCCAAGUCAUUUAUAAAGACUCACCACCUGUUACUGAGCCUGUAUGUCUUCUCUGCUUUGAAGAACAUUGGGCAAAAGAUUCCUGCAUUGCAGGGGGUUGGACUAGAUGACUCUUGUGGUCCCUUCCAACUCUCCAAUUCUAUCAUCCUAUGAUUUAUUUUAAACCUUAGGAAUAACUUAAGGGUCAACAAGGGCCAACUGAGGAAACAACCAAAUCAUUAAAGUUCGUCCACUUAAGGCUAAUUAACAGUACUGUGUACAGUUAUUGUACACAGCGUACACCUCUUACCUUAAGGCUGUGAUUCUGUACUUGGGAUACUGUAUUUCCAGGCAUUCAAAAGUGCAAUAAAGAAUACUUGGUAUACUGUAUUUCCAGGCAUUCAAAAGUGCAAUAAAGAAUACCUUCAAGUUACAUGAGCCAUUGUACCUUGUAGGACAAGUACAGCAGGAUAAUACUCUUUUCCUUUGCAUGGUAUUCUUUGCAUGGUAUGUGCUCCUCUUGCACCAAAGCAAACCUCUGGUAAGACACACCAUUUUGAGAAGGUGGAACCAGUCGUUAUUCCAACCCAAAGCAAAACAUUCAUUAAAAUCUACUUGCAUGCAGGUGGAAUAUCAAGGUCUCUUUAUUGAAAAGGUAUCUGCAGGAAUAUCAUACAAAGACAAGGAACCAAAGGGCUGCACACAAUGUCAGGUGUGCAGUGGGAUCCACCCCAUCCCAUUGCAGCACUUGAUGCUGACUGAAAAGCCACCUCUGGAUCUUCCAGAGAGGG
Molecule: non-coding RNA, 3314 nt
Organism: Podarcis lilfordi (Lilford's wall lizard)
Lineage: Eukaryota; Metazoa; Chordata; Lepidosauria; Squamata; Lacertidae
Source: the annotation of a GenBank genome assembly